RNAcentral lists this ribosomal RNA (653 nucleotides) under uncultured Pseudomonadota bacterium. Its description in RNAcentral is "bacterial SSU rRNA". It matches the Rfam family "Bacterial small subunit ribosomal RNA", at positions 73 to 719 of the family's 1533-position model. Lineage: Bacteria; Pseudomonadati; Pseudomonadota. The record is from RNAcentral.
AAGCAGCUUGCUGCUUUGCUGACGAGUGGCGGACGGGUGAGUAAUGUCUGGGAAACUGCCUGAUGGAGGGGGAUAACUACUGGAAACGGUAGCUAAUACCGCAUAACGUCGCAAGACCAAAGAGGGGGACCUUCGGGCCUCUUGCCAUCGGAUGUGCCCAGAUGGGAUUAGCUAGUAGGUGGGGUAACGGCUCACCUAGGCGACGAUCCCUAGCUGGUCCGAGAGGAUGACCAGCCACACUGGAACUGAGACACGGUCCAGACUCCUACGGGAGGCAGCAGUGGGGAAUAUUGCACAAUGGGCGCAAGCCUGAUGCAGCCAUGCCGCGUGUAUGAAGAAGGCCUUCGGGUUGUAAAGUACUUUCAGCGGGGAGGAAGGUGUUGAGGUUAAUAACCUCAGCAAUUGACGUUACCCGCAGAAGAAGCACCGGCUAACUCCGUGCCAGCAGCCGCGGUAAUACGGAGGGUGCAAGCGUUAAUCGGAAUUACUGGGCGUAAAGCGCACGCAGGCGGUCUGUCAAGUCGGAUGUGAAAUCCCCGGGCUCAACCUGGGAACUGCAUUCGAAACUGGCAGGCUAGAGUCUUGUAGAGGGGGGUAGAAUUCCAGGUGUAGCGGUGAAAUGCGUAGAGAUCUGGAGGAAUACCGGUGGCGAA